GGAGUGCUAGUCCAAAAAAGACAGUUGAUUUCGACUCAACUAAUUGUGGUUUAAACCCAUGGCACCCCU
This 69-nucleotide transfer RNA is filed under the name Nidirana pleuraden (Yunnan pond frog). RNAcentral's name for it is "tRNA-Arg". It matches the Rfam family "tRNA". From Rfam's summary of the family: Transfer RNA (tRNA) molecules are approximately 80 nucleotides in length. Their secondary structure includes four short double-helical elements and three loops (D, anti-codon, and T loops). Further hydrogen bonds mediate the characteristic L-shaped molecular structure. tRNAs have two regions of fundamental functional importance: the anti-codon, which is responsible for specific mRNA codon recognition, and the 3' end, to which the tRNAs corresponding amino acid is attached (by aminoacyl-tRNA synthetases). tRNAs cope with the degeneracy of the genetic code in two manners: having more than one tRNA (with a specific anti-codon) for a particular amino acid; and 'wobble' base-pairing, i.e. permitting non-standard base-pairing at the 3rd anti-codon position. Lineage: Eukaryota; Metazoa; Chordata; Amphibia; Anura; Ranidae. The record is from RNAcentral.